CAGUAGCCGCGGUAAUACGGAGGGUGCAAGCGUUAUCCGGAUUCACUGGGUUUAAAGGGUGCGUAGGCGGAUCUGUAAGUCAGUGGUGAACUCUCCAGGCUUAACCUGGAAACUGCCGUUGAUACUAUAGGUCUUGAAUUUUGUGGAGGUUAGCGGAAUAUGUCAUGUAGCGGUGAAAUGCAUAGAUAUGACAUAGAACACCAAUUGCGAAGGCAGCUGGCUACACAACUAUUGACGCUGAGGCACGAAAGCGUGGGGAUUAAACAGGAUUAGAGACCCCAGUAGUCCCUGUCUCUUAUAC
RNAcentral lists this ribosomal RNA (301 nucleotides) under uncultured bacterium. Its description in RNAcentral is "partial 16S ribosomal RNA". It matches the Rfam family "Bacterial small subunit ribosomal RNA", at positions 509 to 807 of the family's 1533-position model. The record is from RNAcentral.